CAGCUGCAGGAGGUGGGGAAGGUUUGUUUCCAGCUGUGUUUUUGUAUUGCAACCUAUUGCACGACAUACAGCACCUUACCUCGUGGCUUACAAAUCGUGAAGGAAAUGUUUGGUGGACAGUGGACAAGAAGAGCAAGACAGUCAUGUGGGACCUACGGAUAAGUGCGAGAGACAAACCAGUAGCAGUCUUACAGGAUGAAUGCAAGCACUGCACUAACUGAUUCAAGGAUUUACAAUUAAUUGAGGACUGCUUAUUUACUGCAUUUUUCUGGGAAUGUUUUUGGUAAUGCCAACUCCAGACUUUCACCAUGUUUUUAUCAUAACAUUUUUCAGAGAAUAUGUAUUCCCUUAACGCCAUGAAAAAUACCUGUAGCAAUAAGAUCCGGACAAGCACAAAAGCCAUGAAUAUCCAUGCCUGUUGUGAUCCUGUGCAGAUAGCUCUGUAUUAUUCAGCUGUAACAAACUGAAAAUGUAAGACACAAGAUUGCUAACGGCAGAUUCAACAGCGAUUGCCUGUUUAAAUAAUUUUACAAGCUUUCAAGUUCCAGUCAUAGGUAGUUUGUUGAUUUUGUGUGUGACAGUUUUAAACAUCUUUGCUUCUAAGUAGCAGAGCUAUUUUUCUGGGUCCCACUGCUGUGCAGCAGUGCCUUGACUAACUGUAACUGUUGGUAGCUGCUUUUGUUUUGAUUUUUGAGUAGGCUUAUACUGCAACAUUUUGUUCAUCCAGGUGCAAAAGUCACUAAGGGUCCGGAAAUAUUUAAAAAGUGCUCGUAUUUGAAAUAUUCAUUAAAAGUUCGGUGAUUAGGAAUAUAUCACAGACAUAGAUCAAAAGGUUGGAAAAGUGCUAAGUGCAUCAUAGAUCAUUUAAAACUCCAGGGCUUCUAUGCCCAGUGGCCUUCAGACCUCUGGCAAAAUUUGGUUUCUUCUUCCAGAACACAGAUCUCAAACAACUGCAGUCAUCCUCUCAAGGAAAUUUUCUGACCUCUCACUGAAAGUAGAGGCAGGGAAGAUAUGAAGGGAAUAUGUUGGUUUUAUAACAAGACCUACAUCAUAUUAAAAUUUAUUUUGUGCUCAUCACUAUGCAAAUUUAACUAUAUCUAGAAGUAAAAAAAUAUGUUGCCAUA
Molecule: long non-coding RNA, 1124 nt
Organism: Protopterus annectens (West African lungfish)
Lineage: Eukaryota; Metazoa; Chordata; Ceratodontiformes; Protopteridae
Exons: 2
Source: RefSeq, a predicted model, not a curated record